UUAUGCCUACGGGGGGCAGCAGUGAGGAAUAUUGGUCAAUGGGCGAGAGCCUGAACCAGCCAAGUCGCGUGAAGGAUGACGGCCCUACGGGUUGUAAACUUCUUUUGUCAGGGAGCAAUUGGGUCCACGCGUGGGCUUAGCGAGAGUACCUGAAGAAAAAGCAUCGGCUAACUCCGUGCCAGCAGCCGCGGUAAUACGGAGGAUGCGAGCGUUAUCCGGAUUUAUUGGGUUUAAAGGGUGCGUAGGCGGGCUGUUAAGUCAGCGGUCAAAUGUCGGGACUCAACCCCGGCCUGCCGUUGAAACUG
RNAcentral lists this ribosomal RNA (305 nucleotides) under uncultured bacterium. RNAcentral's name for it is "bacterial SSU rRNA". It matches the Rfam family "Bacterial small subunit ribosomal RNA", at positions 333 to 635 of the family's 1533-position model. The record is from RNAcentral.